UACGUAGGGUGCAAGCGUUGUCCGGAAUUAUUGGGCGUAAAGAGCUCGUAGGCGGUUUGUCGCGUCUGCUGUGAAAACUCAGGGCUUAACCCUGAGCCUGCAGUGGGUACGGGCAGACUAGAGUGUGGUAGGGGAGAUCGGAAUUCCUGGUGUAGCGGUGAAAUGCGCAGAUAUCAGGAGGAACACCGGUGGCGAAGGCGGGUCUCUGGGCCGAUACUGACGCUGAGGAGCGAAAGCGUGGGGAGCGAACAGG
Molecule: ribosomal RNA, 253 nt
Filed under: uncultured bacterium
Lineage: Bacteria
Description: partial 16S ribosomal RNA
Rfam family: Bacterial small subunit ribosomal RNA
Source: RNAcentral